UUAUGUUUUGUGGAAGCUAAAAUUCAAAUCCAAGUUUAAUUAUCCAAAGCUCUGAUUUUUAUUUUAUUUAUUUAUUUGCAUUGUAAUUUUCUCAGAUCUUACAAUUAUGAGAAUGCUAUUUUAUGUCUGGUGUUGGCAUUAGUAUGUGACUUUAGAGUACCGGCAGAGCCUCAUAAUACAGUUGAGCAUGUUUCAAGAAUUUGAUUUUAUAUUUAUGAGGAUUUUGGAUUUUGGUUCAUUGCAGUUUCUUGGGAAGGCUAAUGAGA
Molecule: unclassified non-coding RNA, 266 nt
Filed under: Hevea brasiliensis (rubber tree)
Lineage: Eukaryota; Viridiplantae; Streptophyta; Magnoliopsida; Malpighiales; Euphorbiaceae
Source: RNAcentral